This 290-nucleotide unclassified non-coding RNA is filed under the name uncultured Oidiodendron. RNAcentral's name for it is "sequence contains ITS1". The stretch from base 1 to 105 matches the Rfam family "5.8S ribosomal RNA", at positions 50 to 154 of the family's 154-position model. The record is from RNAcentral. Lineage: Eukaryota; Fungi; Ascomycota; Leotiomycetes; Myxotrichaceae.
GAAAUGCGAUAAGUAAUGCGAAUUGCAGAAUUCAGUGAGUCAUCGAAUCUUUGAACGCACAUUGCGCCCUGUGGUAUUCCGCAGGGCAUGCCUGUUCGAGCGUCAUUUCAACCCUCAAGCUCUGCUUGGUGUUGGGCCCUGCCCGUCGCGGCCGGCCCUAAAGUCAGUGGCGGCGCCGCUCGGCUCCUAAGCGUAGUAAUGCUCUCGCUCCAGGGUCGUGCGGUGGCUAGCCAGAACCCCAAACUUCAAUGGUUGACCUCGGAUCAGGUAGGGAUACCCGCUGAACUUAA